Molecule: transfer RNA, 76 nt
Filed under: Lachnospiraceae bacterium
Lineage: Bacteria; Bacillati; Bacillota; Clostridia; Lachnospirales; Lachnospiraceae
Also listed under: 1 other name
Description: tRNA-Leu
Rfam family: tRNA
About the family: Transfer RNA (tRNA) molecules are approximately 80 nucleotides in length. Their secondary structure includes four short double-helical elements and three loops (D, anti-codon, and T loops). Further hydrogen bonds mediate the characteristic L-shaped molecular structure. tRNAs have two regions of fundamental functional importance: the anti-codon, which is responsible for specific mRNA codon recognition, and the 3' end, to which the tRNAs corresponding amino acid is attached (by aminoacyl-tRNA synthetases). tRNAs cope with the degeneracy of the genetic code in two manners: having more than one tRNA (with a specific anti-codon) for a particular amino acid; and 'wobble' base-pairing, i.e. permitting non-standard base-pairing at the 3rd anti-codon position.
Source: RNAcentral
GGGACAGUGGUGCAACGGCAGACGCAGACGGCUCAAACCCGUCCGACUAAGAGUUCGAAUCUCUUCUGUCCCACCA